RNAcentral lists this ribosomal RNA (253 nucleotides) under uncultured bacterium. RNAcentral's name for it is "partial 16S ribosomal RNA". It matches the Rfam family "Bacterial small subunit ribosomal RNA", at positions 524 to 776 of the family's 1533-position model. The record is from RNAcentral.
UACGGGGGGGGCAAGCGUUGUUCGGAAUUACUGGGCGUAAAGGGCUCGUAGGCGGCCAACUAAGUCAGACGUGAAAUCCCCAGGCUCAACCUGGGAACUGCGUCUGAUACUGGAUGGCUUGAAUCCGGGAGAGGGAUGCAGAAUUCCAGGUGUAGCGGUGAAAUGCGUAGAUAUUGGGAAGAACACCGGUGGCGAAGGCGGCGAGCUGGUCCAUUACUGACGCUGAGGCGCGACAGCGUGGGGAGCAAACAGG